GCAGAAUUUAGCCGAUUCUUUUAUUGUCGGCCCUGACUUUCUCAUCAUUGUUUUUCUGCCUAAUAAAUCUUGUCACUUUCCAUUAAGUCAUAAUUUGUGAGAAAGAAAAGGCACUUUAUUGAGUCCAGUUUCCAAUUCCUCUAUUGUGGCCUAAAAAUGAUGUAUUUAUCUCUCCUAUAAACCCACAUUCUGAACAAAGCCAACUAUGGAAAGAAAAGGGUCUCAUUAAUAUUUUACUAAAAUGGCAUGACUGUAGAGCAGGCACUCAUUUCUUUGAGUCUAAUGCCUUUUUGUAGUUUACGUUUUAUUUUUGGGAGGGGGAAUGUUUUGUUUUUUUUUCCUAAAUUUUUUUUAUUUAAUCUCCUAUUCCAAGUCAGACUGUUAGACUGUAUGUGCUAGAGGUUGUCACAAACAUGAGUUAAUGCUUUGAAUUACACAACACUGCCUCCCAUACGACCAUGUGAAUUUUAAAGAGAAAAUAUAUUUUAAGAGACGGUCCAUAGAGCAAUAAUCUUUUACUUCACCCUCUUUGCUCAUGCGCACAAAAAGUGUUUAACCGAUUUGUUAAAGUAAGAUUUUGACGCCAGCAUCUAUUGCGCCUGUCUUUAGUCUAGAAAGGAAUUAAUUUGGGUUUUUCAUCUGCUCCUCAUAAUGCUGUUAACCUGUUUUAUAUUUGACUUGUAUUUUCUACACUACCUCUGUUGGGCUCGCUAUAUAUAUUUACUAUACAUGUGGCUUAACGUAGAUAUUCAUUGAGAAAAAAGAAGAUAUACAAAUAGCUAUUUUUGAUAUCCUCAAGGAAAACUAGUUGAAAAUUCUAUAUUUUUGUUUUGUUCAGUUUUUUUCUUUUUUCCCUCCCUUUUAUUGUUUGGAUAAUCUGAUAACUAACUUAGUGAUUUAAGCAAGUCAAUUGGGUGUAUAUGAAUGCCUAUAACAGUAAUGACUGCCAUCUGCUGUUAUUUAUAGGUUUUCCAAAGCAUGUGAGAUAUUGCUUGUAUCUUGGACAACUUAGCCAUACGAAUACCGUGUAAAUAUGGGCUCUACGUACUGUUUUAUGCUACGUGUUAACUGCUUUUUUUAUUUUUUAUUUUUUUUUAUUUAUUUAAACUUUGUUUAAAAUGUGAGUCAUGGUGAAAAUGGUAAAUAUCCAAUCAGACUGCGAUUAUUUUAUUGUCCAAGUUCAUUUCUAUAUCCUCAACACUUGGUGGGCCCAAAAAACAUAUAAACAGUAAAAUCAGUAUGAUUAUUGGCCUAGUUCCUACUGAGUCUGGUCACAGGUGUAAAAUAUUUUUUUUAUUUUUUAUAUUUGUUUUUCCAUUCUUUUUCAAUACAUUAUGUAUAAAAUGUAUUAAAAGGGCGUAAUUGCCAGCCUGGUGUGCUCUUUUAAAUAUUCUAAUGAAAUCCAGGAGAAGGGAAUCCUUUACAGACUAAAACACAGCAGGGUGAUUGGCUAUUUAUAUUAUUACCAUAACCACAAGACUAUAAAUUGUCUCUUGGCACUUUUUAUUCGUGUUUGUAUUCUAACCAACGGCACAUCAUUUCCUUUUUAAGUAAAACUGCAAUAUUCAGCUUUGGAUCAAAGCAGAAAUGUGCUGUUGCAAUGCUUUGGGAUGUGCACAGGAAUCAGAUUUGUGUUUGCUGAAUUAAACCGGCCUUAGAGACCAGCUGAGGGGUGCCUUCGAAUGGACACAGCCACCGAUACUAAAAAAAGUAGUGUUAGUUAAUCCAACUAUCCUUAUAAAACCAUUUGGCAUAAGCCCCACAAAAUGUAAAGGAUUAAGUGGGUACACAAUAUAGCUAGUUAAGGUGGGUGUUUUUAAGGUUCUCAAGUGUUCGUAUACCUAUUGCACACACUGCAUUUAUCUACAUUCAACUACAGAGGCUAAAAAUCCAACAAGAAGCCAUUUACAGUGCUGAGGAUGUCUUGGGUAAUUUGCACGUCAGUUUUUUUUUUUGCUUUCUUUUCUUUUUUUCUUUUUUUUUCCUUUUUUUUUAAGCUAGUGAACUUUUGCUUAGUCUUUUUGUAUUAAAAAAUGUACAUAUGAAAAUGUAGGUAUUGACCUCCUGUAAACUGAUAGUUGCACUCAGAAAUCCAAAAUGGCGGAGGUAAAAAUGAGCGGUAUUUGCACAAACCUUUCUAAUAAAAGCACAAAGCGUAAACGUGCUUCAUCAUAACUGUAAAACAAGUGGUGUUUGGUUCUCCAAAAAAAAAAUAAAAAAACGCUUUGAAGCAGUGUCCCCAAACGAGGCCAGGUUAGAGCAAAUCAAAGCGUCUCCAAGGUUUUUCCACAGGUGAGAUUUUUUUUUCCCUAGGUAUGGGAUUGGCUUGAAGAUCUGCUUAUUUAAAACAGUUGUUUAUGACCAGUGGUUGAAGUGCCUUGGAAUAUUUAAAACGGAUAUAAGGGUGGUUUUUGUUGCUCAAAUUUUUGCAGCUGAGCCUGUGAUGUCAUCGUUACUUCAUUAUUCACAGAAUGGCAAUAAGCGUUGGCACAGACACACAGGGGGUAACAUGCCAUCUUUUUUUGUCGUAGGGCUCAAUACUUUAUACUAAUUAACUAAUCCGACCAUAACAUUUAUAUUCUGUUUUGUCUCUUUUCCCAUAAUAUUAAACACUGGGGGGAGGGGGGUAUCAAAUUGGUUUGUAAAAGAACUGUGUAAAAAUGUGUAUAUUUUGGAAGUGGUUUGUCUGCUUCUUAGUGCAUAACUAUGCAAAUGAGUUGGAUGUUAAACUUUAUCGCUGAUAACCUCAUGGGUGAAGGCAAAAGUGUACUUAAAAUAAAUUAUUCUCAGUUGUCAUCAAUCUCCUUAUGUGUGUCCUGUAACUGUGACCGGUUAUGUGUUUUUCCUGUAAGACAGUCCGAAAGAUUCAUUUGAAAGAGGUUUUGGUUUUCCAAAGAAUCGAAUAUCCAGGGGUGUGACCGCUUUUUCAGAAAGUCAAAAUGAAAGGAUUUUGUU
Molecule: long non-coding RNA, 2955 nt
Filed under: Pelobates cultripes (western spadefoot toad)
Lineage: Eukaryota; Metazoa; Chordata; Amphibia; Anura; Pelobatidae
Source: RNAcentral